Dicentrarchus labrax (European seabass) is the source of this 424-nucleotide long non-coding RNA. RefSeq lists it as uncharacterized. Lineage: Eukaryota; Metazoa; Chordata; Actinopteri; Moronidae. The transcript is spliced from 3 exons. The record is from RefSeq and is a predicted model, not a curated record.
GCAGCCGUUAAGUUAGCUUGUAAGCUAAAUCACUCUAGUAACUGUUUAAAGUUAGUUAACGUUACUACUUCCAUGUUUCCACAAAUUGGAAAUAAAUCAGCUGCUUCUGGAUUUACUUUAUCAGGUGCAGAAUGCUGUGAUCCUCACCUCCGUGAAACAUGGCUCGUUUGCACAGUUCAGCCCAGUCGCCCCCUGCUGACAGAAGGGCAUCGUAGGCUAUCAUGGGGGCAUCGUGACCUCUCCGACCUGCACGGCCUUCUGAACUCCAGCGCUUAUACAGCUGUGGAGAAAGUAACAGCAGCACACUGUUCCUGUUAGGAGUUCUGUUGAUGUAAAAACCUUAAGAAAUUUCAGUUAACCUGGAUCAAUGAACUAAUGUCUGCACACUGACACAAACACAGUCUAACCUGCCAUGUGUCGUAUG